Molecule: long non-coding RNA, 228 nt
Organism: Cercocebus atys (sooty mangabey)
Lineage: Eukaryota; Metazoa; Chordata; Mammalia; Primates; Cercopithecidae
Exons: 2
Source: RefSeq, a predicted model, not a curated record
ACCAACCCAGAGCAUGCCUCAGAUGCCAUGAGAGCCAUGAACGGAGAGUCCCUGUAUGGUCACCAGAUCCGCGUGGAUCAUGCAGGUUGGAGGCCAAGAUCAGCCCUCAGGGAUCAUCAUCAGGACUGCCAUGAGCUGAGCCGCCUUGUUUUCCUGCCGCAAACAUGUGAAAAGAAAGAAAAAAGAAAUAAUAAUAAUAAUAAUGAUAAUAAAGCAGUUUUCCUUCUG